This 26-nucleotide non-coding RNA is filed under the name Homo sapiens (human). The record is from RNAcentral. Lineage: Eukaryota; Metazoa; Chordata; Mammalia; Primates; Hominidae.
UGAAAGACAGCAUCAAAUCACAUGGC